This is an RNA transcript of Numida meleagris (helmeted guineafowl), 8754 nucleotides long. It is a transcript of the gene named discs large MAGUK scaffold protein 5, with no coding region annotated. NCBI's taxonomy places the organism in Eukaryota, Metazoa, Chordata, Aves, Galliformes, Numididae. The record is from RefSeq and is a predicted model, not a curated record. The transcript is spliced from 34 exons.
CCUUGCUCCCCUCCCCCGGCGGGAGCCGCUAAGUGACGGGCGAAGGGCGGCCGGGGUAGAGGCCAUCGUGUUUCGCUGCCGGCGGCGGGAGGCACGGAGCAGGCGGGCCGAGCCGGGCCAUGCGCCGCCGCGGCACCGUCUGGGCGCAGGCAGCCGCCGUGUGCGACCAAUAUGGCUGCGCGCUGCCGCGAAUGAAAGGAGGCGCCUGGAGCUGAGGCCGUCUCCCCCCCCACCCCUCCUCCUCGCCCCGCGGCCUGCAGUGAGCCCAGGAGAGAAGUUGGCUGAGCCGCCCCGCGGGGUGGGGGGCGCCGGCUGCUGGGGGCGGCGGAGGAGGCGGCGGCAGCAGCAAAGAGGAGGAGGAGAAGUUGUUUGGCCGCCGGGAAGGCGGAAAGGAGAGAGCGGCGCCGGCUGGAGGAGGACGAGGAGCAGCCCCGUAGCGGGCUCUCCCCGCCGAGCGCCCCAGGGGAGAGCGGCGGUCGGUAGACCGCGACAGGAGGAGGAGGAGGCAGAGGGCGGCCCGGCCCCGGGUCGGAGCCUCGCGGCGGCCGCCCGGCGCUGCCCCUAUCGGAGCGGGGCGGCCGGCGGCGGCGCCUCCCCCUCGGCCCGCGCUUCCCCGGGGGCGGCGGUCGAACGGUGGGGCCGGGGGCCGAAGUUUGGCAGUCGGCGGCCAUGGAGCCGAAGCACAAGGAGCUGCUCGCGCAGUGCCGGCAGAGCCUGGCGCAGGCCAUGACCGAGGUGGACAAGGUGGUGGAGCUGCUGGAGGCCGCCGGCGCCCUCGGUCCCCGCGACCUGCGCGACCUGGAGGCGGCGGGCGGCGGCAAGGCCGAGGUGCUGAUCGCCCUGCUGCUGGCCAAGGAGCGGGACCACUUCCAGGACCUGCGGGUGGCCCUGGAGAAGACGCAGCCCCACCUGCUCUCCAUCCUCUACCUGAACGGCGUGGCGGGGGCGCCGGCGGCGGCGGAGGAGACGGCCGGAUCUACUUACAGUGUGCUGUCCAUAAUGCCUUCUGAUUCUGAGAGCAGCAGUUCUCUGAGUAGCAUUGGUACAACCGGUAAAGCAUCAUCUCCACCACCUGUAACAGACACGAGACAGAUGAGUGAGAAGCUGGAGACAAUAUUAUUUCAGCUCCGACAGGUAACUCGGGAGAGGGAUGAGCUGCGCAAGCGACUUGCACUUUCAUCUCCUGGAUCAACUUUUGAUGACUGCAGACCUAGUCCAAAACCUAAUCAUGACUAUGAAAGACUGAAGAUUCAGUGCAUGAAGGCCAUGUCAGACCUACAGUCUCUGCAGAAUCAACAUACUAAGACAUUAAAAAGGUGCGAAGAAGCAGCAAAAGAGGCCGAUUUUUAUCACACAUUGCACAGUCGACUGCUGAGUGACCAGUCACAGCUGAAGGAGGACAUGGAUACCUUGAAGAGGAAAAAUACACAGUUGGUGCGAGAACAUAACCAUCUCCAGCAGUCGUGUGAGGAAAUGAAAAGGCUUCAUGAUGAGGAUCAGAAGGAGAUAACUGACCUACGCAGCCAGCAGCAGCAGGUUAUGAAGCAAAAUGGGUCAUCAGAGAUAUUAAAUAAGCUCUACGAUACAGCAAUGGACAAGCUAGAGGGUGUGAAGAAGGAUUAUGAUGCCUUAAGGAAGCGAUACAAUGAGAAGAUAGCAAGUCACAAUACGGAUCUCAGUCGCCUAGAGCAGGCUGAGGAGGAAAAUAGACGUCUUCAGAAACAGAUUGACAUGCUAAUGAAGCAAAGGGACACAGCAAUACAUUUUCAACAGCAAUAUUCAUCCUCUCUCAGAAGAUUUGAGUCAGUACAGCAGGAGCUAAGCAACGCCACAGCACAAAACAAAGAGUUGCAGAGAGAGAUGGAGCGAUUACAGUCAGAGGUGACAAGGUUCAAAACAAUGCAGCUGAAAGCAGCAAAGGAUUCAGAAAAAUACAAGGAAGAAAGGGAUUCAGUUUUCAAUGAAUACCGCCUCAUAAUGAGUGAGAGAGAUCAAGUAAUCAAAGAGGUAGAUAAGCUUCAAACAGAGCUGGAGCUUGCAGAGUCCAAACUGAAGAACACUUCUUCUGAGAAACGAGUCGCUAGUGAAGAGAUGGAAGCUUUAAGACAGGAGCUAAACUCAGCUUUAGUGGAAAGAGAUCGAGCAAUUUGUGAGAGGAAUGAGUUGCUGGAAAAAUACUGUCAUGAAGUGAAGGACAAAGCUGAGGCCCAGAAGGAACUUGAUCAGGCUUGCAAGGAUAUAGAGACAGUGAAGGAAGAAAGAGAUGUUGCCAGGAAAGAGAGAACAGAAGCUAUCAUCCAGAGGGACCAUCUACUAAGGGAAUACUAUCAAGCCCGUCAGAUACAAGAUUCUGCUACCCUUGACAUUGAAAGAGCAAACAAAGAAAUUGAAAUGCUUCGGAAACAAUAUGAGGCUAUGUCGCAAGAACUGAAGGAAGCUGUCCAGGAAGCAGAAGUCGCCAAGUGCAGGAGAGAUUGGGCUUUUCAAGAGCGGGAUAAGAUUGUUGCAGAAAGAGAAAGUAUACGGACUCUGUGUGACAACUUACGGAGGGAGAGAGACCGCGCUGUGAGUGACUUGGCUGAAGCUCUUCGCAAUCUGGAUGACAUGAGGAAGCAGAAAAAUGAUGCCGUGCGUGAACUGAAGGAACUGAAAGAGAAGAUGGAGAAUCAGUUGGAAAAGGAGGCCAGAUUCCGUCAAUUGAUGGCCCAUAGUUCCCAUGACUCAGCCAUAGACACAGAUUCUCUGGAAUGGGAAACAGAAGUAGUAGAAUUUGAAAAAGACAGAGAUGAUAUGGACUUGAAAGCACUUGGUUUUGAUGUGGCAGAAGGUGUGAAUGAACCAUACCUCCCUGGAGACUGUGGGAUCUUUGUUACCAAAGUAGACAAAGGAAGUAUUGUGGAUGGUCGAUUAAGAGUAAAUGAUUGGUUGCUGAAGAUAAAUGAUGUGGAUCUUACUAAUAAGGAUAAAAAGCAAGUUAUAAAAGCUGUUCUAAAUGGAGGAGGGGUUAUUAACAUGGUGGUUCGAAGAAGGAAGUCCUUGGGUGGACGAGUGAUAACACCACUUCACAUCAAUGUUUCUGGGCAUAAAGACAGUGGGGUGAGCCUAGAAAAUGGAGUAUUUGUUGCUGCUGUUGUGCCUGGAAGCCCAGCUGCCAAAGAGGGUUCCCUUACUGUGGGAGAUAGAAUAAUUGCUAUCAAUGGGAUUGCACUAGAUAAUAAAUCACUUAAUGAAUGUGAAGCUUUGUUACGAAACUGCAGGGAUUCUCUUACCCUGUCAUUGUUGAAGGUUUUUCCUCAGAGUUCAUCUUGGAGUGGUCAAAAUAUAUUUGAAAAUCUGAAGGAUUCAGAAAAAAUAUCAAACUGUAGGGUUCACGCGUCAGAGAUACAAGCCCAAAACAAAAGAAAUCUGAAACUCAACAGCUCAACACAGACUGAUAUUUUCAAUCCAGACGUCAUGGAUGUCAAGAAGGACCAGAGUGAUCAGGGCAGUCGUUCAUUUUGUGAUCACAAACCCUUCCCUAAUAACACAUUACGAGUAGAUUCUCACAGGAACACAGUGCACAGUUGCCACAGUAAUUCAGAACAUAGUCUCAGCUCUUUCAACCCAGAGACAUAUGGGGACCGAGGCUACGGAGUUGUUGACUUGGACAACAGGAGACUGCCUUAUGAACCUACAGAAACUGACUGCAUGAUGGUUGAGACUGGAUUUGACAAAGGACAUGGUGCUAAGCAUAGUGGUGGUACCUGGCCAAAAGUCAUGGUUAAUAUCUCAGCAGCAGAAACAGAAAAGUUUUCUGUAUACAAAAAGCCAAAACAAAGGAAGUCUAUCUUUGACCCUGAUACUUUCAAAAGGCCACCAACUCCUCCUAAGCUGGAGUACCUUUCUCCAAAUCAGGUGACAGGCCAUUCACCUCAGCCAUCAAAAGCUGAAGUGGCUUCAACUCCUCCAACUCCUCCGAAGAGAAGUGACUCUAUCAAAUUUAAACAUAAACAGCAGGCAAGCUCUGCAUCAGAGUCUACAGUAACAACUGGAUCACCACCUACCAGCCCAGCCACUGCCCAAGCUCCAGUUUCCUUGGCACUUAAACAAGACUCUGCUACUCUCAAGGGGCGCAGCAGGAAUGCUGGGAAUUAUUAUCGUGAGGAGGGAAUUGACUGUACUCAUCUCUCCUCAAGGAAAUCCUGUGAAGAUGACAUUGGCUUUCAAAGGGUUGAAGAGCCAGAGAUAAAAAGACCAAGGCCAAAAUCUGCUCCUGCUCUGAGACAUAAAAUGACCCCUAUGCCCAUUCCUAAUCCUGGACUUCAGAAAUAUACUCCAGCUAGUGAGGAACACCUAUCUCCAGAGCUACAGGAAUGGGCACCAUAUUCACCGAAACGUUCUGCUAGGCAUAGUGAUGGCUUUGUAUCUUCUGCAUUAUAUACUGGAGGCGUGUCAUCAGGUACUGUACCAAGAAGCUUAGCACCUUGCCCUGCAGUAACUGCGGUCAUGCGAAAUCCCAUCUAUACUGCAUGGAGCCACAGAGUACACACCAACAAUUGCCCAUCAGUUGCCAGCCAAAUAUGCCAUCAGCAUCUGCAUCCCAGUGCCCAGCACCAAGGUCGCUUGAGUUUGGACCUGAGUCAUAAACACUCCAAUGAAUACUCUGAAAAUCCACGUACAAGAGCAUCUCAUGGCUCAAAUUCAUUGCCAUCCAGUGCAAGACUUGGUUCUUCAAGUAACUUGCAGUACAGAACAGAACGGAUUAAGAUCCCUUUAACACCAAGAUAUCCAAGGUCCGUCAUGGGCUCUGACAGAGGCUCAUUGUCGCACUCUGAAUGUAGCAGUCCCAGCUUGAUAACUCCUCCACAGUCACCUCUUAACUUGGAAACAUCUUCCUUUGCCAGCAGCCAAUCUCAGAACUCUCUUUCUACUUUACCUAGAAUUUCCAUUAGCCCAGUAUCUGCUGGAGAACGUAGAAAAGAUAGGCCGUACAUGGAAGAGCCACGUCAUGUUAAAGUGCAGAAGGGUUCUGAGCCAUUAGGAAUUUCCAUUGUGAGCGGAGAAAAUGGUGGAAUAUUUGUCUCUAAAGUAACAGGUGGGAGCAUUGCACAUCAAGCUGGCCUUGAGUACGGUGAUCAGUUACUAGAGUUUAAUGGAAUAAAUUUGAGAAAUGCUACAGAGCAGCAGGCUCGAUUAAUCAUUGGACAACAGUGUGACACCAUUACUAUUUUGGCUCAGUAUAACCCACACAUGUAUCAGCUUGGCAAUCAUUCACGAUCAAGUUCUCGCCUAGAACCUGUCAGUAAUCAUUCCACCCCUCAAGGCAGUGGAGCUGCAACUCCUGACAAUCAUUCCAUAAUCGAUACUGUGAGUGAACAGGAUGAAGGAACAAUGACACCCCCAUCAAAACAAACCACACCAACCACAAGUCCCCGAAAUUCCUUAAGGGGCCCUGUGGACACAAACAAAAGGACCCCUGAACCAAGAACUGUUGUUGUUAAAAAAUCCCAAGUGGAUCUUGGGAUCCAAAUAUGUGGUGGAAAUCUGUAUGGAAUAUUUGUAUCAGAUGUAGAUGAUGAUAGUCCAGCAAAAGGACCUGAUGGCCUAGUUUUGGGUGACAUGAUACUUGAGUAUGGAUCCAUUGAUAUGCGAACUAAAACAGCUGAGGAAGCUUACCUCGAAAUGUUGAAACCUGGAGAAAAUAUCAAAAUAAAGACUCAAUACAGAAUUGAAGAAUUUAAUAGGAUAAAAGAGCUUCCUGGAGAUGGAUUCUUUAUCAGAGCACUUUAUGACCGUCUGGCAGAGGUGGAACAGGACUUAAGCUUUAAGAAGGAUGACAUUUUGUAUGUUGAUGAUACUUUACCACAAGGAAACUUCGGUUGUUGGAUGGCUUGGCAGCUAGAUGAGAAUGCUCAGAAGCUGGAAAGAGGACAGAUUCCCAGUAAAUAUAUGAUGGAUCAGGAAUUCUAUAGGAGACACAGCAUGUCUGAGACUAAAGAUGAAAACAGCUCUUCCAAGACAUUGUCAGCAGCAGCACGAAGGUCAUUCUUCAGGAGAAAGCAUAAACACAAACGAAGUGGUUCCAAAGAUGGCAAGGAUUUGCUGGCUCUUGAUACAAUCAGUACAGACUCAAUUCCAUUCUUGGAUGAUUCUGCAAGUCUGGCAUAUCAGCGUGUACAGAAAGUGGACUGUACCUCUCCUAGACCUGUGCUUAUUCUAGGACCAUUACUUGAUGCUGUGAAAGACAUGUUGGUCAAAGAAUCUCCAGGAAAAUUUUGCAGAUGUCCUCUUGAGGUUAUGAAAGCUUCCCAACAAGCCAUUGAGAGAGGUGUGAAGGAUUGCCUAUUCAUAGAUUAUAAACGGAGGAGUGGACAUUUUGAUGUGACAACUGUUGCUUCAAUAAAGGAGAUAACAGAAAAGGAUUGUCAUUGUCUGCUUGACAUCGCUCCUCAUGCCAUUGAACGGCUCCACAGUGUUCAUAUCUACCCUAUUGUAAUUUUUAUUCGCUACAAAAAUGCCAAACAAAUCAAAGAGCAAAAAGACCCAAUCUUCCUGAGGGACAAAGUUACACAAAAACAUUCCAAAGAACAGUUUGAGACAGCUCAAAAAAUAGAACAAGAGUACAGCAAAUACUUUACAGAGCAUGUUUCCCUGUGGUUCUACAUGCAUUCAAAAGAGUAAGGGUGAAAUCCUAUCCAUCUUUAAUGUGAGUGGCAACACAACUUAAAAAGAAGAAAAAAAUAAACAAAACAACAGCCCCCAAACCAAACAGAACCCAACCUCACACCCUCAAAAUAAUGGGAUUCUUACAGAAGUAUUUUGAAAUAUACCUGCCAAGUGCAGGGGAGUGGAAGGUGGGAGGAUGCAUUUAAUACAGAGCUAUCAUGGUGUAUCCUGAGAGAAGUUGCACAUACUCAACAGUCAGUUGCCUGAUAUAUAAUGGCAUUGUCCAGGGAGGAGCCCUUUCAAGCAUUUGCACUCAGAUUAUGACAACUGUUGAUCAAGAACAAAACAAAGUCCUGUGGAUCCCAGCUGGCCCACUGUAGAUUUAUUUUUGCUGUGAAACUGCUUUGCAGGCGUAAAUAACCAACUAACUUUCUAUUCAAUGGACUCUGUCCGUUUCUGUCUUUAUAAAGAUGUAAGUAUGUGAUUUCUGUUUCAUGAACGGGAACGAUAACACUGAGCACCAGAAGAACCAACGAGGCAUUCGGGAAGGAUAGAUCACUUGUCUCUUCCACUGUACGUGUACAUGUGACAGGUUGGCACGUGGGGUACAACCUGUGUGUACUUGUCCAUAAAUAAUGAAUUUAGCAAUGCUGCAAAACCCUGUAGAAUGACAAGUUUACAAAAACCUUUUCAAAGUAUUUGGUUGUUGCUGUUUACUUGAAUGUCUUUUUUUGUUGUUUUUUUUUCUGUUUUGUUUUGUUUUAUAACUCUGUGUCCUUUCACGUAAUGAGGUAACUCUCCAAAACAGAGUGAAAUUCUGAAUAUGAGUGAAUGGUUUAUGCAUGUGACUCUUACCUACAGUUGUUACCAUUUCUGAGCACAUUGACUCGACAGCCAGAUAAUGCGGGAUUUUAUCGGUACGUCUUGGGAGUAAGUUCCGAAGGAAGUACACUCCUCUACAGGGCAGACCACUGUUUGUAUUAUGUCAACACUUGUCUGUCAAAGAUACUGUUUCUUGUCUAAUGCAUGAAUCUGCUGUUUAAACGUCAUAAUAUAACUGAACAAUCCAAGCUUAACGUGUGUUGAGAAAUACCAAUUUUUGGUUGUUGGGCCUGGAUAAAAUACUGGUGGGCAAGAGUCAUGAGCUAGGCCUAGCAUGCUGUGUUCUGUCACUUUCAGAUACUGUAAAUAUGGAAAGCUUACGUUGGUGCAAUUUUGCAGGGUAAUUCUGAAGCUUUGUAUUUCAGUGUGUAGCAUUCACAUAGAUUGUUUUUUAUUUAAGAGCAGCCACAGGCUUAGGGCUUCGAUUAAAAGCCUUUAGAAAGGUACUGAAUUGUUAAUGUUUUCACUGUAAAAAGUAAGUGAUCAUCUAGUUUUGGUUGCAAUACUUACUUACUUAUUGUACCAAACUCCAUUGUAUCAGUUCCCUUUUUGGUUUUUUGCACUUCUGACUCUGUGUUCCUAACACAGGUUUUGUACCUGUCUCUUCUGUCUCUUGUGCCAUGCUUUUUGGGUACUGUAUUUUAAUUGUUUUUAAAAUAUAAUUUGAGUAGAACUGCUUUUCAGUUGUUGUUCCUAACAUUUCAUUAUGUAGAGGUUUCUAGUUUUACACUACAACCUACAGUUUUGUUUGUUUGCAGCUUGUUUAAGUAAAAAAGGGAUUCUUCUUGCACAGGUCUUCAAAGAAGGAUUUGGUCCUAAAUUUAAAUUCCAUUUUACAGAUGCUGUUUUAUAGUUCAAAGUACUAUAUAUAGUUACAUACUAUAUAGAGAGAGUAUUUUUGAACUGUAAUAAGUACAAUAUAUAUACAGUAUUAUUUUAUUUACUGUUAUACCAUACUGUUAUAAUACUGUAUAUAUAUAAAUUAAAAAAAGAAGGUGGUAUGCAUGUAUUUGUCAUGGUGAGGGACAGCAGUUAUUUUUCAUUUACUUCAUUUUUGUUUCUUUGUUUUUUAAAGUUUGAGGUCAGAGUAGACUUCAGUGGUACAACUGAAACAGACAGGUACUGUUCUGACAUGAUUUUUCUGUACUAAAAUAAAAAUGUCACUUUGUAUCAAAAAAAAGUUAAAGAAACUGAUUACUAAAUAAAGGUCAAUUUCUAUAACUUGAA